Molecule: long non-coding RNA, 1418 nt
Filed under: Equus asinus (donkey)
Lineage: Eukaryota; Metazoa; Chordata; Mammalia; Perissodactyla; Equidae
Description: lncRNA (ENSEASG00005026475.1)
Source: RNAcentral
CAGAGAAUGAGUUCAUUUCUCUUCAAACAUCCUCACAUUGCUGUAAAACAGCACUGACUGGGUGAUGAGAAAUGUCACCAGGAAUACGGGAGGAUGCCUUCAGCAGAGAGAGGGGAGCAGUUACGCUUCUGAAUUAGAUAUUAGCUUUGGAGAGGUUUCAUUUUUCUUUUGUUGCUUACAUUCUGGACAUCGUGAGUUUUUUUUUUUUAAGGACAGUCUUUUGUUUUUCACUCCUUCCUAGUAGAGCUUGGAUACUUGGAGAAAUAAAUAUAAAAGGAAGACUUCUCAAAGAUUUGUCCUGUGGAGGAAUGGAGUAUAGACUCUGGACCAAAGGGUUAUAGCUCAGAUCAGAGUCUUUGCUCUUAAGCAAAAAAGCCAAAUUUGAAAUUCAGGAUUACUUUAAAAUUAUCAUUGCAAUCUUCCUUUUGCCCUUGGCAAAUGGCUGACAGUCGCUGGAGAUCUGCUCAGGCAUUAUCUGGAACUCUCUGAGCAGGGAAAGUUGAGUAAAUCCACAUAACCCUGAGGAGUGAAGUUAGGAUCCACUGCUCAGAAGCACAGAAUCACAGAAUCACAGAUUGUCAGAGAUGCGUCAGCUCAGAGAACAUCUAAGUGUCACAUCUUCAUGCUAAAUACAAGAAAACUGAGGUCUGGAGAAACUGAGUUUUUUGCCUAAAAUGACAAAGCAAAUCAGUGGCAGAGCUGAAACCCAAAGCCAAGAUUACUAACUCCUAGUCCAGUUUGCUUCCCAAGAAAUCUUGGAUCUGCAGGCAUCUCUGGGCAUCAUCUGGACCACUCUGUGACCUCAAAUUGGGCUAAGGGUUUUCUAUUCUCUGAUUAGAUAACUUCAAAGACUAGGAUAUAAAACAUUUCCUUGAUGGGCAGUUUGUUUUAAAUAGCUUUCUUUAUUGGAAUAUAAAUGACCUAUGGAAACUGAACAUCUUUAAUUGCACUAUUUGAAGACAUUUGGAAUAUUCAAUUCUUUAUACAUUGAAACCCGUCAAUCUUUUCCUCAGUGAUUUGUUCUCCCACUGUGAGUUCAGAAAGUCUUUCUCUACUGGAGUUAAUUAAAGAUGUAUUUCAUCUUCAAAAAAAAUAAAUUGUACUAUUUGAUAAGCCUUGACAUAUGUAUAUACCGUGAAACUAUCACAACAAUGAAGAUAAUGACAUAUCCAUCAGCCCCAAAAGUUUCUUUGUUCCCUUUUUUAAUGAUGCUCUCUAUCCUACCUAUCACCACUCGACCACUGAUCUGUGUUCUGUCACUAUAAAUUAGUUGGCAUUUUACAGAAUAAAUGGAAUCAGACAUACUCAAUUUUUGUCUCCUUCCACUCAGCUUAAUUAUUUUGAGAUUCAUCCCUGUUGUUGCAUGUAUCAAUAGUUCAUUCCUUUUUAUUCCUGAGUAGUAGUCCAUUGUUUGGCUG